RNAcentral lists this ribosomal RNA (470 nucleotides) under uncultured Thiobacillus sp. RNAcentral describes it as "bacterial SSU rRNA". It matches the Rfam family "Bacterial small subunit ribosomal RNA", at positions 902 to 1382 of the family's 1533-position model. Lineage: Bacteria; Pseudomonadati; Pseudomonadota; Betaproteobacteria; Nitrosomonadales; Thiobacillaceae. The record is from RNAcentral.
CAAAUGAAGUUGACGGGGCCCGCACAAGCAGCGGAGCAUGUGGCUUAAUUCGACGCAACGCGAAGAAACCUUACCAAGGCUUGAAAUGCAAGUGAAGCGGUGGAAACGCGUGGCCGAAAGGAGCUUGCACAGGUGGUGCAUGGCUGUCGUCAGCUCGUGUCGUGAGAUGUUGGGUUAAGUCCCGCAACGAGCGCAACCCUUGUCAUUAGUUGCUACGCAAGGGCACUCUAAUGAGACUGCCGGUGACAAACCGGAGGAAGGUGGGGAUGACGUCAAGUCCUCAUGGCCCUUAUGGGUAGGGCUUCACACGUCAUACAAUGGUCGGUACAGAGGGUUGCCAAGCCGCGAGGCGGAGCCAAUCCCACAAAGCCGAUCGUAGUCCGGAUUGUUCUCUGCAACUCGAGAGCAUGAAGUCGGAAUCGCUAGUAAUCGCAGGUCAGCAUACUGCGGUGAAUACGUUCCCGGGUCUU